Molecule: ribosomal RNA, 486 nt
Filed under: uncultured bacterium
Lineage: Bacteria
Description: partial 16S ribosomal RNA
Rfam family: Bacterial small subunit ribosomal RNA
Source: RNAcentral
GAUGAACGCUGGCGGCGUGCUUAACACAUGCAAGUCGAACGGAAAGGCCUCAGCUUGCUGGGGUACUCGAGUGGCGAACGGGUGAGUAACACGUGGGCGAUCUGCCCUGCACUUUGGGAUAAGCUUGGGAAACUGGGUCUAAUACCGAAUAUGACCACUUCUUGGAUGUUGUGGUGGAAAGCUUUUGCGGUGUGGGAUGAGCCUGCGGCCUAUCAGCUUGUUGGUGGGGUAAUGGCCUACCAAGGCGGCGACGGGUAUCCGGCCUGAGAGGGUGUACGGACACAUUGGGACUGAGAUACGGACCAGACGCCUACGGGAGGCAGCAGUGGGGAAUAUUGCACAAUGGGCGCAAGCCUGAUGCAGCGACGCCGCGUGGGGGAUGAAGGCCUUCGGGUUGUAAACUCCUUUCGCUAUCGACGAAGCCACUUGUGGUGACGGUAGGUAGAUAAGAAGCACCGGCUAACUACGUGCCAGCCGCCGCCGUAA